UAUUCAAUAACAUUAUCUUUUUUGAUUGCUACUAAUUUAUUUAUGCUAAACAUGAAGACUAUCCCAUUGAUGUUCAUCGCCUUGAUCAUACUUUCAAUAUCAUUUCUAGCUCCGAUCAAAGCUCAAGGUAUCGUUGGCUGCGAUGUUGAGCUCGAUAAAUGUGUGGUCAUGAGAAAUAACCAACAAUGGGCUUUGCUAUAUAAUACAUGUUGUAAGAAAUUUAAAAAGCCAGGGCCACAACCUUGUAUGUGUUUGUUUUUUAAGUACCCUACGCCAAAGGAAACUGCUCUCAGCCUUCUUCGUUAUUGUAAAGCUCCAAUUCCCAAGUGUUAAAAGACCUUUAGUAAAAGAAAAUAACAACAAUAUAGUAAAUGUAUUUUUGACCUAAGUUAAUAUCCUAGUAGUUUGUAAUAGUGCUGCGACUCCGGUGUCAAAAUCUGGUAUCGAAUUUGGUUUUUACAUAGUUAAGUAAAUUUUAUGUAUUUUGGUACAUCAGAAUACUAUUACAUGGUGAUUUUUUAUUUCUCUUUUUCUUCGGAUUCUCUCUUCUUUUUUAAAUUCAAAGUAAUCUCUCGUCUCUAGGUUGACUGAUGGCGUCGAAAAAGAAGAAUUUGUGCAUCGGCUUACUCAACAAAAAGAAGGAUUAGAUUUACAAAUACAAGAGAUAGUGAAACUUGUAUUCGUAAGCCCUUGCGCUCACUUCUCUGUACUGAUUUCUUCGAAUUAAGGAGACUCACUUUAUUUCUUCUUUUGCAUAAAAUUAUUUAUAUAUAUAU
RNA transcript from Arabidopsis thaliana (thale cress), 776 nucleotides. RefSeq lists it as uncharacterized. Lineage: Eukaryota; Viridiplantae; Streptophyta; Magnoliopsida; Brassicales; Brassicaceae. The transcript has a single exon. The record is from RefSeq.